RNAcentral lists this transfer RNA (65 nucleotides) under Protohermes infectus. RNAcentral describes it as "tRNA-Glu". The record is from RNAcentral. Lineage: Eukaryota; Metazoa; Arthropoda; Insecta; Megaloptera; Corydalidae.
AUUUAUAUAGUUUAAAUAAAACAUUACAUUUUCACUGUAAAAAUAAAAAUUAAUUUUUAUAAAUA